Molecule: ribosomal RNA, 253 nt
Filed under: uncultured bacterium
Lineage: Bacteria
Description: partial 16S ribosomal RNA
Rfam family: Bacterial small subunit ribosomal RNA
Source: RNAcentral
UACGUAGGGUGCAAGCGUUGUCCGGAAUUAUUGGGCGUAAAGAGCUCGUAGGUGGUUUGCUGCGUCCGCUGUGAAAACCCAAGGCUUAACCUUGGGCUUGCAGUGGAUACGGGCAGACUAGAGGUAGGUAGGGGAGAAUGGAAUUCCCGGUGUAGCGGUGAAAUGCGCAGAUAUCGGGAGGAACACCGGUGGCGAAGGCGGUUCUCUGGGCCUUACCUGACACUGAGGAGCGAAAGCGUGGGGAGCGAACAGG